UCAUAAAUUAUUUAUUAAUUUUUUAUAUACUAGUUAGCUUCUUUGCUUGCUUAGUUGUUUCAAUUAUCUUCAGAUUCUUGUUACUAUGUAUUUUGAAAUUAAAAAAUAUAUUAAAUGUAAAAAUAUAAUUUUUUAAUAAAAGUUAUUUUAAAAAUAAAAUGUAAAAUUGAUACCAAUAUAAAAUUUUAACACGAAUAUUUUAUGGCAUAAUUAAUAAUUCAAUUUUAAUAUAAA
RNAcentral lists this long non-coding RNA (234 nucleotides) under Gossypium barbadense (sea-island cotton). RNAcentral describes it as "long non-coding RNA (GBAR_LNC016468)". The record is from RNAcentral. Lineage: Eukaryota; Viridiplantae; Streptophyta; Magnoliopsida; Malvales; Malvaceae.